UACAGACCCUGUUUAACUGGGGUCUGGGAUGCGAUUGGUGGGAUGGUGUUUCCCCAGUGCCCCCGCGCCCCGCCCCAGCCUGAGGGACGGGGCAUGAUGGGGCCACGGGGUCACCCCUGGGGGGAAGGCAUGGGAGUUUCGUCUGAACUAUGUACAAGUUGUCACUCUUUGUGAUGUGUCGCGUUCUGCCUAGGUGGUUAGGGGAUGCGGGUGCGCAUCUUGAUGGGUGUGCCAGUUGAGUUGGGGGGCCAUUAUUUUGGGGACUGACCCUGUCGGAAUCAGUCAAUUUGGUGAUAUGUUUGGGUUCUGCAGGUA
Non-coding RNA from Pelobates cultripes (western spadefoot toad), 315 nucleotides. The record is from the annotation of a GenBank genome assembly. NCBI's taxonomy places the organism in Eukaryota, Metazoa, Chordata, Amphibia, Anura, Pelobatidae.